Transfer RNA from Dacryopinax sp., 100 nucleotides. It matches the Rfam family "tRNA". Rfam says of the family: Transfer RNA (tRNA) molecules are approximately 80 nucleotides in length. Their secondary structure includes four short double-helical elements and three loops (D, anti-codon, and T loops). Further hydrogen bonds mediate the characteristic L-shaped molecular structure. tRNAs have two regions of fundamental functional importance: the anti-codon, which is responsible for specific mRNA codon recognition, and the 3' end, to which the tRNAs corresponding amino acid is attached (by aminoacyl-tRNA synthetases). tRNAs cope with the degeneracy of the genetic code in two manners: having more than one tRNA (with a specific anti-codon) for a particular amino acid; and 'wobble' base-pairing, i.e. permitting non-standard base-pairing at the 3rd anti-codon position. NCBI's taxonomy places the organism in Eukaryota, Fungi, Basidiomycota, Dacrymycetes, Dacrymycetales, Dacrymycetaceae. The record is from Rfam.
GCCCUCUUAGCUCAGUGGUAGAGCGUUUGUCUUGUACGGAAUGUGAUUGGUCACGCGUAGUUGCAACAAAAGGUCACAGGAUCGACUCCUGUAGUGGGCA